GCAUGGCAUUGGAUUUAUGGCAGGUCCCACUCUGUGAGCCUGUCAUAGUGUACUCCAUGCAAGAGCAAACAGCCAUCCCGAACCAUUGCCCGGUCGCUGCCCGUAGGCCGAGGGCACUGAAGUGGAUGGAACAGCU
Ornithorhynchus anatinus (platypus) is the source of this 136-nucleotide small nucleolar RNA. RefSeq annotates it as small nucleolar RNA SNORA42/SNORA80 family. The record is from RefSeq and is a predicted model, not a curated record. Lineage: Eukaryota; Metazoa; Chordata; Mammalia; Monotremata; Ornithorhynchidae. The transcript has a single exon.